This 1551-nucleotide ribosomal RNA is filed under the name Triticum aestivum (bread wheat). RNAcentral's name for it is "partial small subunit ribosomal RNA". The record is from RNAcentral. Lineage: Eukaryota; Viridiplantae; Streptophyta; Magnoliopsida; Poales; Poaceae.
AUGAGUGAGCCAACAGGCCUUGCUGAGGCUUUCGAGAAGCUAGCUAAGAUCCUUGAGGAGUCGAAAUCUGGGGCCAUCGUUCCUCGACAGGAAGUGGCUCAGAAGAUCGAACUGUCGCCCAUGGACAUGAAGUUAGAGGGGGCUACCAAUUAUCUGAGCUGGACCCGAAGGGCGUUGCUGGCUGUGGAACAGAAGGAGCUUGAUGGGCACUUGUUGGGUGCUGUUGCUGAACCAGGAGACAAGACUACUGUGGAGGGAAAGAGAUGGAAGGUCAUAAACUCUGUGCUCAUUGGCUGGUUGUUGAACUCGGUGGUGCCCCCCAUUGGACGCUCUGUGGAGGGGCUAUCCACAUCCGCUGCGAUAUGGACGACUCUGUCCACCUUGUACUCAGGUAAGGGCAAUGUCAUGCUCAUUGCUCAGAUUGAGGGGAAGAUCAGUCGGCUGCAUCAAGGUGAUGACAUGUCAGUGAUGACAUAUGUGGCAGAGCUGCAGGCUUUGUGGGCAGAGCAGGAUAACUGCGACCCUCUGGAACUCUAUGAUGCGGCUUGCAUCGAGUCAGGGCGCAAGUGGAUUGCACGCAGGCGUGUGCUGAAACUGUUGGAGGGGCUUAGAGGUUGCUUUCAUGGCAGGAGGGCAUCCCUGUUGCACCAACCUCUCCUGCCCUCUAUUGAGGAGACUAUUGCUGCAAUGUCUCAAGAGGAGGUGCGGCUAUCUCUUGAGCAUGCAGACAUGAAGGUUGUGCCGGCUUCGACAUUUGCAGUCACUGAGCGCAUGGAGUGGAGCGAUCCCAACAAAUGUCAUAUCUGUGGGGAGGUAGGUCACUGGAAGUGGGCGUGUCCAACUCGUGGCAGAGGCAGGGGAUACGACAGAGGGGGAACUGGCAGAGGCAGGCGUGAUAGAGGCAGAGGUGGAUACUCAGGGACCUCAAGGGGCCAGGCUUCUAUGGGUAGAGGUGGCUACUCAGGACACUUAGGGGAUCAGAGGGCUCACAUGACAGUGGCAGGAGACAUUGGGACGUCACAAGGCAAAGAUGCAGCUGAUGCUGACUAUGGAGACUUUGCUCUCUGGGCCUCCACUGAUGAAGGUAAUCCGGAUGAGGCAUGUCUUGCUUCUAAUGAGAGUGCUCCAGAGUGGGUUCUUGACUCUGGAGCAUCUAAGCAUGUUGCUAGUAAUUCCUGCAUGUUUGAGUCUUACCAUAAGCACCCUCCGUCUCACACGGGCACAAUGCAAACUGCUGAUGGCACAAACCAGCCUGUCAUAGGGGUUGGCACAGUCAAGUGCACUCCGACCAUCUCCCUAUCCUCAGUGUUACAUGUGCCAGCUUUUCCUGUCAAUUUGGUCUCUUUCAGUGCUCGAAUUGAUCAAAUUGACUGUCGUGUGAUCCUUGACAAAUUCGGUUGCGUGAUUCAGGAGCGCCAGACGAGCCAGACGGUUGGGACUGGCACCAGGCGUAGGGGGCUCUUGGUACAUGGACCAGGAGGUGCAGCCGGACUUGGUGUGUGCUGCGACCAUGGAGGACAAGGAGAAGGAGGCGAUGAUCCAUCACUGUAG